This 433-nucleotide unclassified non-coding RNA is filed under the name soil metagenome. RNAcentral's name for it is "partial contains 5.8S ribosomal RNA, internal transcribed spacer 2, and large subunit ribosomal RNA". The stretch from base 1 to 120 matches the Rfam family "5.8S ribosomal RNA", at positions 35 to 154 of the family's 154-position model. The record is from RNAcentral.
GAUGAAGAACGCAGCGAAAUGCGAUACGUAAUGUGAAUUGCAGAAUUCAGAGAAUCAUCGAAUCUUUGAACGCAUAUUGCGCUCUCUGGUAUUCCGGAGAGCAUGCUUGUUUGAGUAUCAGUAAACACCUCAACUCCCUUUUCUUUUUUGAAAUGGGAGCUGGACUUGAGUGAUCCCAACACUUUUCUCACUGGAAAGUGGCGGGUCACUUGAAAUGCAGGUGCAGCUGGACUUUUCUCUGAGCUAUAAGCAUAUCUAUUUAGUCUGCCUAAAAAACAGAUUAUUACCUUUGCUGCAGCUAACAUAAAGGAGAUGAGUUCUUGUGCUGACUGAUGCAGGAUUCACAGAGACAGCUUUGCGGCUGACUUUGUAAACUCGAUCUCAAAUCAAGUAAGACUACCCGCUGAACUUAAGCAUAUCAAUAAGCGGAGGA